This 427-nucleotide ribosomal RNA is filed under the name uncultured bacterium. RNAcentral describes it as "bacterial SSU rRNA". It matches the Rfam family "Bacterial small subunit ribosomal RNA", at positions 355 to 774 of the family's 1533-position model. The record is from RNAcentral.
UGGGGAAUUUUGGACAAUGGGCGCAAGCCUGAUCCAGCCAUGCCGCGUGCAGGAUGAAGGCCUUCGGGUUGUAAACUGCUUUUGUACGGAACGAAAAGGUGCCUUCUAAUAAAGGGCGCUCAUGACGGUACCGUAAGAAUAAGCACCGGCUAACUACGUGCCAGCAGCCGCGGUAAUACGUAGGGAGCAAGCGUUGUUCGGAUUUACUGGGCGUAAAGGGCGCGUAGGCGGCGCGGUAAGUCACUUGUGAAAACUCUGAGCUUAACUCAGAACGGCCAAGUGAUACUGCUGUGCUAGAGUGCGUUAGAGGCUACCGGAAUUCUUGGUGUAGCGGUGAAAUGCGUAGAUAUCAAGAGGAACACCUGAGGCGAAGGCGGGUUGCUGGGCCGACACUGACGCUGAUGCGCGAAAGCCAGGGGAGCAAACG